GAACGGUAAGGCCUUCGGGUACACGNGUGGCGAACGGGUGAGUAACGCGUGAGUAACCUGCCCUUCACUCUGGGAUAACAGUUGGAAACGGCUGCUAAUACCGGAUAUUCAGCUCCUGUCGCAUGGUGGGGGUUGGAAAGUUUUGGUGGUGGAGGAUGGGCUCGCGUCCUAUCAGCUUGUUGGUGGGGUGAUGGCCUACCAAGGCGUCGACGGGUAGCCGGCCUGAGAGGGCGACCGGCCACAUUGGGACUGAGAUACGGCCCAAACUCCUACGGGAGGCAGCAGUGGGGAAUAUUGCACAAUGGGCGGAACUUGAUGCAGCAACGCCGCGUGCGGAUGACGGCCUUCGGGUUGUAAACGCUUUCAGCAGGGACGAAGCGCAAGUGACGGUACCUGCAGAAGAAGCACCGGCUAACUACGUGCCAGCAGCCGCGGUGAUACGUAGGUGCGAGCGUUGUCCGGAUUUAUUGGGCGUAAGAGCUUGUAAGCGGUUGGUUGCGUCGAAAAUGCAACUCAGGCUUAACUCUGACCUGCUUCGAUACGGGCUGACUGGAGAGUAGGGAAAUGAUCCGGUGAGCGGUGGAUCGCGAUACUGGGAGACACAAAUGCGUAAGCGGUCUCUUGCCAUUCCUUCAGCUGAGAAGCGAAAGCGUGGGGAGCAAACAGGCUUAGAUACCCUGGUAGUCCACGCUGUAAACGGUGGGUACUAGGUGUGGGGGACAUUCCACGUUCUCUGUGCCGUAGUAACGCAUAAGUACCCGCCUGGGGAGUACGGCGCAAGGCUAAAACUCAAAGGAAUUGACGGGGCCCGCACAAGCGGCGGAGCAUGCGGAUUAAUUCGAUGCAACGCGAAGAACCUUACCUGGGUUUGACAUAUAUCGGAAACGUUCAGAGAUGGGCGCCCCGUAAGGUCGGUAUACAGGUGGUGCAUGGCUGUCGUCAGCUCGUGUCGUGAGAUGUUGGGUUAAGUCCCGCAACGAGCGCAACCCUCGUCCAAUGUUGCCAGCGGGUUAUGCCGGGGACUCAUUGGAGACCGCCGGGGUCAACUCGGAGGAAGGUGGGGAUGACGUCAAGUCAUCAUGCCCCUUAUGUCCAGGGCUUCACGCAUGCUACAAUGGCCGGUACAAAGAGUUGCGAGCCUGUGAGGGUGAGCGAAUCUCAAAAAGCCGGUCUCAGUUCGGAUUGGGGUCUGCAACUCGACCCCAUGAAGUCGGAGUCGCUAGUAAUCGCAGAUCAGCAACGCUGCGGUGAAUACGUUCCCGGGGCUUGUACACACCGCCCGUCAAGUCAUGAAAGUCGGUAACACCCGAACCGGUGGCCUAACCCGUUUGGGGGGGAGCUGUC
Molecule: ribosomal RNA, 1344 nt
Filed under: Propionibacteriaceae bacterium FH061
Lineage: Bacteria; Bacillati; Actinomycetota; Actinomycetes; Propionibacteriales; Propionibacteriaceae
Description: 16S ribosomal RNA
Rfam family: Bacterial small subunit ribosomal RNA
Source: RNAcentral